GGGAAACAAGAGGAGGGGCCAGCCUCAGGCCCCCGCAACAAACUGGGGCA
Molecule: regulatory RNA element, 50 nt
Organism: Chlorocebus sabaeus (green monkey)
Lineage: Eukaryota; Metazoa; Chordata; Mammalia; Primates; Cercopithecidae
Source: Rfam